Molecule: ribosomal RNA, 405 nt
Filed under: uncultured bacterium
Lineage: Bacteria
Description: partial 16S ribosomal RNA
Rfam family: Bacterial small subunit ribosomal RNA
Source: RNAcentral
GACGAACGCUGGCGGCGUGCUUAACACAUGCAAGUCGAGCGGAGCGGAGAACGGGCGAGUAACGCGUGAGUAACUGACCCCCUCUCUGGGAUAAAAGUUGGAAACGGCUGCUAAUACCGGAUAGUGGGGGAUGACUCGCGUCCUAUCAGCUUGUUGGUGGGGUGGUGGCCUACCAAGGCGACGACGGGUAGCCGGCCUGAGCGGGCGGACGGACUCAUGUGUCUGAGGUAGGGCGCAAAGGCGAACAGGGGGCAGCAGGGGGGAAGAUUGCACAAUGUGGGAAACCCUGAGGCGGCGGCGCCGGGUGCGUGAUGACGGCCUUGGGGGUGUAAACCGCUUUCAGCCAUGACGCGUUAUUGGCAGAAGAAGCACCGGCUAACUCCGUGCCAGCAGCCGCGGUAAUAC